This 457-nucleotide ribosomal RNA is filed under the name uncultured Pseudorhodoplanes sp. RNAcentral's name for it is "bacterial SSU rRNA". It matches the Rfam family "Bacterial small subunit ribosomal RNA", at positions 20 to 524 of the family's 1533-position model. The record is from RNAcentral. Lineage: Bacteria; Pseudomonadati; Pseudomonadota; Alphaproteobacteria; Hyphomicrobiales.
UGGCUCAGAGCGAACGCUGGCGGCAGGCCUAACACAUGCAAGUCGAACGCCCCGCAAGGGGAGUGGCAGACGGGAGAGUAACACGUGGGAACGUGCCCUUCAGUACGGAACAACCAAGGGAAACUUUGGCUAAUACCGUAUACGCCCGCAAGGGGAAAGAUUUAUCGCUGAAGGAUCGGCCCGCGUCUGAUUAGCUAGUUGGUGGGGUAAUGGCUCACCAAGGCGACGAUCAGUAGCUGGUCUGAGAGGAUGAUCAGCCUCACUGGGACUGAGACACGGCCCAGACUCCUACGGGAGGCAGCAGUGGGGAAUAUUGGACAAUGGGCGCAAGCCUGAUCCAGCCAUGCCGCGUGAGUGAUGAAGGCCUUAGGGUUGUAAAGCUCUUUUCGUCAGGGAAGAUAAUGACGGUACCUGAAGAAGAAGCCCCGGCUAACUUCGUGCCAGCAGCCGCCGUAAC